AACGAACGCUGGCGGCGUGGAUAAGACAUGCAAGUCGAACGAGAACCUUGGAGCUUGCUUUGGGGUUCUAGUGGCGGACGAGUGAGUAACACGUGAGUAACUUGCCCGAAAGUUGGGAAUAGCCCACCGAAAGGUGGAUUAAUACCCGAUGUGAUCGCAAGAUUAAAGGUGCCUUCGGGUGCCGCUUUCGGAUAGGCUCGCGGCCUAUCAGCUUGUUGGUGAGGUAAAAGCUCACCAAGGCGACGACGGGUACCUGGUCUGAGAGGACGAUCAGGCACGCUGGAACUGAGACACGGUCCAGACACCUACGGGUGGCAGCAGUCGAGAAUCAUUCACAAUGGGCGAAAGCCUGAUGGUGCGACGCCGCGUGGAGGAUGAAGGCCCUAGGGUCGUAAACUCCUGUCAUCGGGGAGUAAAGCUUAGGUGUUAAUAGCAUCUUAAGCCUGAUAGUACCCGAAGAGGAAGGGGCGGCUAACUCCG
This 480-nucleotide ribosomal RNA is filed under the name uncultured Verrucomicrobiaceae bacterium. RNAcentral describes it as "bacterial SSU rRNA". It matches the Rfam family "Bacterial small subunit ribosomal RNA", at positions 29 to 505 of the family's 1533-position model. The record is from RNAcentral. Lineage: Bacteria; Pseudomonadati; Verrucomicrobiota; Verrucomicrobiia; Verrucomicrobiales; Verrucomicrobiaceae.